RNAcentral lists this ribosomal RNA (1352 nucleotides) under uncultured bacterium. RNAcentral's name for it is "bacterial SSU rRNA". It matches the Rfam family "Bacterial small subunit ribosomal RNA", at positions 28 to 1381 of the family's 1533-position model. The record is from RNAcentral.
AUUGAACGCUGGCGGCAUGCCUUACACAUGCAAGUCGAACGGUAACGGGUCCUUCGGGAUGCCGACGAGUGGCGAACGGGUGAGUAAUAUAUCGGAACGUGCCCAGUAGUGGGGGAUAACUGCUCGAAAGAGCAGCUAAUACCGCAUACGACCUGAGGGUGAAAGGGGGGGAUCGCAAGACCUCUCGCUAUUGGAGCGGCCGAUAUCAGAUUAGCUAGUUGGUGGGGUAAAGGCCUACCAAGGCAACGAUCUGUAGUUGGUCUGAGAGGACGACCAGCCACACUGGGACUGAGACACGGCCCAGACUCCUACGGGAGGCAGCAGUGGGGAAUUUUGGACAAUGGGCGCAAGCCUGAUCCAGCAAUGCCGCGUGCAGGAAGAAGGCCUUCGGGUUGUAAACUGCUUUUGUCAGGGAAGAAAUCUUCUGGGCUAAUACCCCGGGAGGAUGACGGUACCUGAAGAAUAAGCACCGGCUAACUACGUGCCAGCAGCCGCGGUAAUACGUAGGGUGCGAGCGUUAAUCGGAAUUACUGGGCGUAAAGCGUGCGCAGGCGGCUUUGCAAGACAGAUGUGAAAUCCCCGGGCUCAACCUGGGAACUGCAUUUGUGACUGCAAGGCUAGAGUACGGCAGAGGGGGAUGGAAUUCCGCGUGUAGCAGUGAAAUGCGUUGAUAUGCGGAGGAACACCAAUGGCGAAGGCAAUCCCCUGGGCCUGUACUGACGCUCAUGCACGAAAGCGUGGGGAGCAAACAGGAUUAGAUACCCUGGUAGUCCACGCCCUAAACGAUGUCAACUGGUUGUUGGACGGCUUGCUGUUCAGUAACGAAGCUAACGCGUGAAGUUGACCGCCUGGGGAGUACGGCCGCAAGGUUGAAGCUCAAAGGAAUUGACGGGGACCCGCACAAGCGGUGGAUGAUGUGGUUUAAUUCGAUGCAACGCGAAAAACCUUACCUACCCUUGACAUGUCAAGAAUUCUGCAGAGAUGUGGAAGUGCUCGAAAGAGAACUUGAACACAGGUGCUGCAUGGCCGUCGUCAGCUCGUGUCGUGAGAUGUUGGGUUAAGUCCCGCAACGAGCGCAACCCUUGUCAUUAGUUGCUACGCAAGAGCACUCUAAUGAGACUGCCGGUGACAAACCGGAGGAAGGUGGGGAUGACGUCAGGUCCUCAUGGCCCUUAUGGGUAGGGCUACACACGUCAUACAAUGGCCGGUACAGAGGGCUGCCAACCCGCGAGGGGGAGCCAAUCCCAGAAAACCGGUCGUAGUCCGGAUCGUAGUCUGCAACUCGACUGCGUGAAGUCGGAAUCGCUAGUAAUCGCGGAUCAGCUUGCCGCGGUGAAUACGUUCCCGGGUCU